CCAGACUCCUACGGGAGGCAGCAGUCGGGAAUAUUGCACAAUGGAGGAAACUCUGAUGCAGUGACACCGCGUAUAGGAAGAAGGUUUUCGGAUUGUAAACUAUUUUAGACAGGGAAGAAAAAAGACAGUACCUGUAGAAUAAGCUCCGGCUAAAUACGUGCCAGCAGCCGCGGUAAUACGUAUGGUGCAAGCGUUAUCCGGAUUUACUGGGUGUAAAGGGAGCGCAGGCGGCACGGCAAGCCUGAUGUGAAAGCCCGCGGCCCAACCGCGGGACUGCAUUGGGAACUACCGGGCUGGAGUGCCGGAGAGGUAGGCGGAAUUCCUAGUGUAGCGGUGAAAUGCGUAGAUAUUAGGAGGAACACCAGUGGCGAAGGCGGCCUACUGGACGGUGACUGACGCUGAGGCUCGAAAGCGUGGGGAGCAAACAGGAUUAGAUACCCCGGUAA
Molecule: ribosomal RNA, 446 nt
Filed under: uncultured bacterium
Lineage: Bacteria
Description: bacterial SSU rRNA
Rfam family: Bacterial small subunit ribosomal RNA
Source: RNAcentral